GACAGAGGUCCCAAGCGUUAGGCGGAAUCACUGGGCUUAAAGCGUGUGUAGGCGGACUUCUAAGUACCUUGUGAAAUCCCACGGCUCAACCGUGGAACUGCUUGGUAUACUGGUUGUCUUUGGCCAUCUAGGGGCUAGCGGAACAAACGGUGGAGCGGUGAAAUGCGUAGAUAUCGUUUGGAACGCCAAUGGUGAAAACAGCUAGCUGGGGAUGUGCCGACGCUGAGACACGAAAGCCAGGGGAGCGAACGGG
Molecule: ribosomal RNA, 253 nt
Filed under: uncultured bacterium
Lineage: Bacteria
Description: partial 16S ribosomal RNA
Rfam family: Bacterial small subunit ribosomal RNA
Source: RNAcentral